This 541-nucleotide ribosomal RNA is filed under the name uncultured Hypocreaceae. Its description in RNAcentral is "eukaryotic LSU rRNA". The stretch from base 176 to 329 matches the Rfam family "5.8S ribosomal RNA". Lineage: Eukaryota; Fungi; Ascomycota; Sordariomycetes; Hypocreales. The record is from RNAcentral.
AACGUUANNNNNNNNUUGCCUCGGCGGGAUCUUCUGCCCCGGGUGCGUCGCAGCCCCGGACCAAGGCGCCCGCCGGAGGAAUCAACCAAAACUCUUAUUGUAUACCCCCUCGCGGGUUUUUUUUAUAAUCUGAGCCUUCUCGGCGCCUCUCGUAGGCGUUUCGAAAAUGAAUCAAAACUUUCAACAACGGAUCUCUUGGUUCUGGCAUCGAUGAAGAACGCAGCGAAAUGCGAUAAGUAAUGUGAAUUGCAGAAUUCAGUGAAUCAUCGAAUCUUUGAAUGCACAUUGCGCCCGCCAGUAUUCUGGCGGGCAUGCCUGUCCGAGCGUCAUUUCAACCCUCGAACCCCUCCGGGGGGUCGGCGUUGGGGAUCGGCCUUCCUUCACGGGGGCCGUCUCCGAAAUACAGUGGCGGUCUCGCCGCAGCCUCUCCUGCGCAGUAGUUUGCACACUCGCAUCGGGAGCGCGGCGCGUCCACAGCCGUUAAACACCCAACUUUCUGAAAUGUUGACCUCGGAUCAGGUAGGAAUACCCGCUGAACUUA